UUAAGCGACUAAGCGUACACGGUGGAUGCCUAGGCAGUCAGAGGCGAUGAAGGGCGUGCUAAUCUGCGAAAAGCGUCGGUAAGGUGAUAUGAACCGUUAUAACCGACGAUACCCGAAUGGGGAAACCCAGUGCAAUUCGUUGCACUAUUGCAUGGUGAAUACAUAGCCAUGCAAGGCGAACCGGGGGAACUGAAACAUCUAAGUACCCCGAGGAAAAGAAAUCAACCGAGAUUCCCCCAGUAGCGGCGAGCGAACGGGGAGGAGCCCAGAACCUGAAUCAGCAUAUGUGUUAGUGGAAGCGUCUGGAAAGUCGCACGGUACAGGGUGAUAGUCCCGUACACAAAAAUGCAUAUGUUGUGAGUUCGAUGAGUAGGGCGGGACACGUGACAUCCUGUCUGAAUAUGGGGGGACCAUCCUCCAAGGCUAAAUACUCCUGACUGACCGAUAGUGAACCAGUACCGUGAGGGAAAGGCGAAAAGAACCCCGGCGAGGGGAGUGAAAUAGAACCUGAAACCGUGUACGUACAAGCAGUGGGAGCACCUUCGUGGUGUGACUGCGUACCUUUUGUAUAAUGGGUCAGCGACUUAUAUUUUGUAGCAAGGUUAACCGAAUAGGGGAGCCGUAGGGAAACCGAGUCUUAACUGGGCGAAUAGUUGCAAGGUAUAGACCCGAAACCCGGUGAUCUAGCCAUGGGCAGGUUGAAGGUUGGGUAACACUAACUGGAGGACCGAACCGACUAAUGUUGAAAAAUUAGCGGAUGACUUGUGGCUGGGGGUGAAAGGCCAAUCAAACCGGGAGAUAGCUGGUUCUCCCCGAAAGCUAUUUAGGUAGCGCCUCGUGAACUCAUCUUCGGGGGUAGAGCACUGUUUCGGCUAGGGGGUCAUCCCGACUUACCAAACCGAUGCAAACUCCGAAUACCGAAGAAUGUUAUCACGGGAGACACACGGCGGGUGCUAACGUCCGUCGUGAAGAGGGAAACAACCCAGACCGCCAGCUAAGGUCCCAAAGUCAUGGUUAAGUGGGAAACGAUGUGGGAAGGCAUAGACAGCCAGGAUGUUGGCUUAGAAGCAGCCAUCAUUUAAAGAAAGCGUAAUAGCUCACUGGUCGAGUCGGCCUGCGCGGAAGAUGUAACGGGGCUAAACCAUGCACCGAAGCUGCGGCAGCGACACUUAGGUGUUGUUGGGUAGGGGAGCGUUCUGUAAGCCGUUGAAGGUGACCUGUGAGGGUUGCUGGAGGUAUCAGAAGUGCGAAUGCUGACAUAAGUAACGAUAAUGCGGGUGAAAAACCCCCACGCCGGAAGACCAAGGGUUCCUGUCCAACGUUAAUCGGGGCAGGGUGAGUCGACCCCUAAGGCGAGGCUGAAAAGCGUAGUCGAUGGGAAACAGGUUAAUAUUCCUGUACUUGGUGUUACUGCGAAGGGGGGACGGAGAAGGCUAGGCUAGCCGGGCGACGGUUGUCCCGGUUUAAGCAUGUAGGCGGAGUGACUUGGUAAAUCCGGUUGCUUAUCAACGCUGAGGUGUGAUGACGAGCCACUACGGUGGUGAAGUAGUUGAUGCCAAGCUUCCAGGAAAAGCCUCUAAGCAUCAGGUAACAUUAAAUCGUACCCCAAACCGACACAGGUGGUCAGGUAGAGAAUACUCAGGCGCUUGAGAGAACUCGGGUGAAGGAACUAGGCAAAAUGGUGCCGUAACUUCGGGAGAAGGCACGCUGGCAUUAGGUAAAGAGACUUGCUCUCGGCGCCGAAGCCAGUCGCAGAUACCAGCUGGCUGCAACUGUUUAAUAAAAACACAGCACUGUGCAAACACGAAAGUGGACGUAUACGGUGUGACGCCUGCCCGGUGCUGGAAGGUUAAUUGAUGGGGUCAGCCGCAAGGCGAAGCUCUUGAUCGAAGCCCCAGUAAACGGCGGCCGUAACUAUAACGGUCCUAAGGUAGCGAAAUUCCUUGUCGGGUAAGUUCCGACCUGCACGAAUGGCGUAAUGAUGGCCAGGCUGUCUCCACCCGAGACUCAGUGAAAUUGAACUCGCUGUGAAGAUGCAGUGUACCCGCGGCAAGACGGAAAGACCCCGUGAACCUUUACUAUAGCUUGACACUGAACAUUGAGCCUUGAUGUGUAGGAUAGGUGGGAGGCAUUGAAGUGUGGACGCCAGUCUGCAUGGAGCCAACCUUGAAAUACCACCCUUUAAUGUUUGAUGUUCUAACUCGGCCCCGUGAUCCGGGGUGAGGACAGUGUCUGGUGGGUAGUUUGACUGGGGCGGUCUCCUCCCAAAGAGUAACGGAGGAGCACGAAGGUUAGCUAAUCACGGUCGGACAUCGUGAGGUUAGUGCAAAGGCAUAAGCUAGCUUGACUGCGAGAGUGACGGCUCGAGCAGGUACGAAAGUAGGUCUUAGUGAUCCGGUGGUUCUGAAUGGAAGGGCCAUCGCUCAACGGAUAAAAGGUACUCCGGGGAUAACAGGCUGAUACCGCCCAAGAGUUCAUAUCGACGGCGGUGUUUGGCACCUCGAUGUCGGCUCAUCACAUCCUGGGGCUGAAGUAGGUCCCAAGGGUAUGGCUGUUCGCCAUUUAAAGUGGUACGCGAGCUGGGUUUAGAACGUCGUGAGACAGUUCGGUCCCUAUCUGCCGUGGGCGUUGGAAGAUUGAGAGGGGCUGCUCCUAGUACGAGAGGACCGGAGUGGACGAAUCACUGGUGUUCGGGUUGUCAUGCCAAUGGCAUUGCCCGGUAGCUAAAUUCGGAAGAGAUAACCGCUGAAAGCAUCUAAGCGGGAAACUUGCCUCGAGAUGAGUCUUCCCUGGGGCUUUAAGCCCCCUGAAGGAACGUUAAAGACUAUGACGUUGAUAGGCUGGGUGUGUAAGUGCAGCGAUGCAUUGAGCUAACCAGUACUAAUGAUCCGUGAGGCUUAACCUU
Molecule: ribosomal RNA, 2905 nt
Filed under: Yersinia enterocolitica
Lineage: Bacteria; Pseudomonadati; Pseudomonadota; Gammaproteobacteria; Enterobacterales; Yersiniaceae
Description: bacterial LSU rRNA
Rfam family: Bacterial large subunit ribosomal RNA
Source: RNAcentral